GAUGAACGCUGGCGGCGUGCUUAACACAUGCAAGUCGAACGGAAAGGCUCCUGCUUGCAGGGGUACUCGAGUGGCGAACGGGUGAGUAACACGUGGGUGAUCUGCCCUGCACUUCGGGAUAAGCCUGGGAAACUGGGUCUAAUACCGGAUAGGACGAUGGUUUGGAUGCCAUUGUGGAAAGUUUUUCGGUGUGGGAUGAGCUCGCGGCCUAUCAGCUUGUUGGUGGGGUAGUGGCCUACCAAGGCGUCGACGGGUAGCCGGCCUGAGAGGGUGUACGGCCACAUUGGGACUGAGAUACGGCCCAGACUCCUACGGGAGGCAGCAGUGGGGAAUAUUGCACAAUGGGCGGAAGCCUGAUGCAGCGACGCCGCGUGGGGGAUGACGGCCUUCGGGUUGUAAACUCCUUUCGCUAGGGACGAAGCGCAAGUGACGGUACCUGGAGAAGAAGCACCGGCUAACUACGUG
RNAcentral lists this ribosomal RNA (465 nucleotides) under uncultured bacterium. RNAcentral's name for it is "partial 16S ribosomal RNA". It matches the Rfam family "Bacterial small subunit ribosomal RNA", at positions 28 to 507 of the family's 1533-position model. The record is from RNAcentral.